Oryzias melastigma (Indian medaka) is the source of this 1581-nucleotide long non-coding RNA. RefSeq lists it as uncharacterized. The transcript is spliced from 3 exons. The record is from RefSeq and is a predicted model, not a curated record. NCBI's taxonomy places the organism in Eukaryota, Metazoa, Chordata, Actinopteri, Beloniformes, Adrianichthyidae.
CAGGAUUUCUUCAUCUGUGUGGUUUUCUGGAGAGUCCAGACUGCAGACUGCAGACUCUGAGGUUGAUCAACUGCAGUUUGUCAAAGACCAGCUGUGCUGCUCUGGUCACAGCUCUGAAUUUAAACCCAUCCCACCUGACAGAACUGGACCUGAGAUACAACAACCUUCAGUCUUCAGAUGUUCAGCAGCUCCAGGAUCUGGUGGAGAGUCCAAACUCCAAACUGCAGACUCUGAGCUUGAAAGGAGAGGGCUGGUGGGACUAAUGUUUCUCCUUUUGGAUCAGAGAGGAUCGUCAUCAUCAUCAUCAUCAUCUGGUCUGCAGAGAUGUUGUUCCUGGAGGUGGAGAGCAGAGUGAUGGAGGAAUCAGAGGAAGUGGAGAUGAGUGUCAGAGCUGCAGCAUGAACUGAUCUGAGAUCAGCUCCACUGUCUCUCUCAGCAUCAAGUGGACAGUUAUUGUGCUGCAGCUCCCCUGGUGGACUGAUGGAGAACUGCACUUCAUCUUCUCAUGCACUUCAUCUUCUCAUUCUAACUUGGAGUGUUGGAAAGUCUUCUGCUUCUCUUCUCUCUCGCAUUUGGAGCUUCUCUUAACUUUGUCCACACACUCUUGCUGUGGUUUUAUCCUCAUGUGUCCUGAAACGGUUUCUCUGAAUGAUCUGUGUUGGUGAUUCAUCAGAUUCAGACAUGAUGGUUUCCUGCAGAAGCUCAGAAGUCUUUUCUGGUGUUUCUUGGACUCCUGCACAUCUCUGCACCACAGAGUGGACCAGCAUUCUCUGAACAUCCUUCAGCUGGUCCAGAAAGCAGCAGCAUGGCUGUUGACCCAAGAAAGAAAACCUUCCACCAGUUCUGGCCUCAGGAUUCUCCAUCUGUGAGCAUUUUGGUUCUUCUUUUUCAUCUUUCAUCAGACCUUUCAGAACCACAAAGUGGACUGAGUUCCUCUGAUUAAAGGCUGCUGGGUUUUGUAUUUUGUUCAUUAUUUUACAGGAUUUUGUUCUGUUGUAACCAUGGUAACUGUGAGUACCGCACUCCUGUUUACUCUGAGUCCUGAAGCAGAAAUCCCACCAGAACUAACAAAAGUCUCUCAGUUGAAUCAUUUUUAUAUCAUCUCUGUUCUGUUGAUGAUACAAUAUUGACUCAUGGAGUUUGAAAGACUCAGAGAUUUAGUUUGAUGUUUUUUACAGUUUUAUGAUUGAACUUCCUUUUUCUUUGGUGUUUUCUGGGUAAAACUCUGUUCUUUUUCAUGCUGACAGCAUUUUUAACUGAAGUUUUUAAAGAAGUUUCAUCUAAAUCCAGUAGGAUCUCAUCAUUUUCUAGAAUGUCUGAAACUAGUAGAAACUUUCUGAGCAUAAAGGCUGUUUUCUCCAGAGGACAUGAAUGAACAGAGUGGAUGUUAGUGAGGAAUGAAAGAGAAUCACUUUGAUGCAGCUGCUGCAACAACACUAACUGCAUUGAAGCAGGAGGGAGAAGGGAGACACCUGCUGGCUGUUUUCAGAACUGCAUCUUAGUGUCUAAAGGUUCAAACUGAAAGCUGUCUGUCAAAUUCCUGCAGCCUGUUUGGAUCUAAUAAAUUCUCUUUUGAAUCAA